AUUUGAAACAUGUAGUGUGUGACUCAACUUCGAACUCCCGAUAUAGAUCUAUACAAGUAAAGAUCCAGUUCAAUUUGUAACUCAUAGCUUAAUACAAGGAUACCAACUGGGUCAUAAUAAUGAGGCUGCAGCGCUGCCCGGUUCACAUGCCGAGAUGAGAAGACCGGACAUAUUGAACAAUACGACAACGGCACUCACACAUGUGUGAAUGGUGUAGUUAAACAAAUAGCAACAACGAUCGCAACGACAACAUUUCCCUCUUCAACAACUGAAUCCACUCAAUCUACCAGCACCAUUAUCUCGCCACUGUUGAAGCACAUGUGCUCAAUUGUAUAUUUUGGCCGAGUUAAAUACGUGAACCAACCCACACCUAUUUACUCGGACUUGGAAAUUUGCUUCAACAAGCUCGACUUGAAGUCUCCAACCUUGCAAGGGCGGGACGAAAAGGUAAACCUGGAAAUUGAAAAGGAUCGCCACAGACCAGAGCCACCGAUACUUCACGGGAAAUACUUUCUGAACAUAACAGAAAAUCCAAAGCCCACAGAAACAUCCUCCUACAUUAACGUCAAGAAUGACGCUGUGUAUAAUUUAGCGAAAUUACGUAAACGAGCUAUUAAUAAAUUGCUCAAAUUGCUAAAGUUGUGCAAGAGUCUGUCAUGUUGAGCACUGGAUCGCCGCUUACUAAGAGUAAGCUGCGUUUGCGUCCAGGGCGCGGCGUGUGUUAAAUUGAUGUCAGGAAAGCACCUGGCUAUUUUUGUAGCGUUUUGUUUUAGUUAUAAUUUCCGAUGAGUUAACGGAUUUCGGUGUUUUACGUGGUUUGAACAUACACUGUCUUAUCUAGAAGUUGUUUACUCAAAUAUUGCCCACCGAAAUUAUCUUAUACGUACAUGAACGUGUACACAUUUGUCUCGCUUAUUGUGCUAAACCAUAGAAAUGGGAGUUCACUGUGCGGAGUUUCGUAAACAAGAAAUAGCUGAAAUCCUUGAGAUGAAAAGACACCAAAGUCCGAAGGAAUUAAUGCAGAUCAAGGCGGCUGCAGCGCUGCCUUGUUCUCAUGUCGAGAUGAGAAGACCGGACAUAUUGCACAAUACGACAACGACACUGAGAUAUGUGUGAAGGGUGGGAUUUUCGAACACGUGUGUCCAUUUCGUGUGUAAUUAAACAAAAAACGACAACGAUCGCAACGACAACAUUGCCUUCUUCAACAGCUGACUCCAAUCAAACUACCAGCAUCAUUAUGUCGCCUCUCUUGAUGCACAUGUGCUCGAUUGGUAAAGACCUACAAGACAGAUACAAGUGUUGUGGUGUGUACACCAAUUACCAACCUGAUUUUGAAACUUGCUGCAAGAUUACGAUGACGAAAACAAAAGUGCAUUCAGGGAAACCGGACAAAGAUUACACGUGUUGCCGAGACGACAUUACUAUAGCCUAUAAACGAACGGAUUUGCCGUGUUCCUACCACCAAGCGAACAACGACAAGUUCUGGAAGGCCCCUCAAGUUACCGCUCUCUUUAAGUCCCCUGAACUCCUGAAUCAGGCCUGUCUAACAAAGAAAGUAUAUUUGGGCAGAGUGAAAUAAGUGAACAAACCCUCAGCUAUUUACUCGGACCUGGAAAUUCGCUUAAACAAGCUUGACUUGAUGUCUCCAACCCUACAAGUGCGUGACGAAAAGGUAAACCUGUACAUUGAAAAGGAUCGCCACAGACCAAAGCCACCGAUACCGCAAGGAAAAUACUUUCUGAUCAUCACAGAAAAUCAGCAGCCCACAGAAAGACCGUCAUUCAUUAACGUCAAGAAUGACGCCGUGUAUAAACUUGCGAAAUCGCGUAAAAGUGCAAGUAAUAAAUUGCAUGAAUUGUUUAAGUUGUGCAAGAGUCUGUCAGGUUUAGCACUGGAUCACCGCUUACUAAGAGUAAGCUGUGUUUGCUUCCAGGGAGCGGCGAGUGUUAAAUUGAUGUCAGGAAAGCACUUGGCUGUUUUUGUAGCGUUUUGUUUCAGUUAUGAAUGCCGAUUAGUUAACGGAUUUCGGAGUUUUUACGUGGAUUGAACAUACACUGUCUUAUCUCGAAGUUGUUUUCUCAAAUAGUGCCCACCGAAAUUAUCUUAUACAUACAUGAAAGUGUACACAUUUGUCUCGCUAUGAGUGCUAAUCCUUGGAAAUGAGAGUUUACUGUGCAGAGUUUCGAAAACAAGAAAUAGCUGAAAUCCUUGAGAUGAAGAGACACGAAAGUCCGAAGGAAUUAAUGCAGAUAAGGUAUUCAGACGUCGGUAAAACGGAUUUUUAACAAUGAAGAACUGUAUGAACUAUAUGAACUAUAAACAUACUGUAUUCCUGCAUAUUGUGUUGGUAUAUGAUAAGAACGUUAUUUGUUCAUAAUAAAUUGUUGAACAUUUA
Dreissena polymorpha is the source of this 2395-nucleotide RNA transcript. RefSeq lists it as uncharacterized. The record is from RefSeq and is a predicted model, not a curated record. Lineage: Eukaryota; Metazoa; Mollusca; Bivalvia; Myida; Dreissenidae. The transcript has 8 exons.